GGAUGAGCCCGCGGCCUAUCAGCUAGUCGGUGGGGUAACGGCCUACCGAGGCGAUGACGGGUAGCUGGUCUGAGAGGACGACCAGCCACACGGGGACUGAGACACGGCCCCGACUCCUACGGGAGGCAGCAGUGAGGAAUCUUCCGCAAUGGGCGAAAGCCUGACGGAGCGACACCGCGUGUGGGAUGAAGUCUUUCGGGAUGUAAACCACUGUUGGAGGGGAAGACAUCGACGGUACCCUCCGAGAAAGCCCCGGCUAACUACGUGCCAGCAGCCGCGGCCG
RNAcentral lists this ribosomal RNA (283 nucleotides) under uncultured Actinomycetales bacterium. RNAcentral describes it as "partial 16S ribosomal RNA". It matches the Rfam family "Bacterial small subunit ribosomal RNA", at positions 223 to 523 of the family's 1533-position model. Lineage: Bacteria; Bacillati; Actinomycetota; Actinomycetes; Actinomycetales. The record is from RNAcentral.